UACGGAGGAUGCAAGCGUUAUCCGGAAUGAUUGGGCGUAAAGCGUCCGCAGGUGGCUAUGUAAGUCUGCUGUUAAAGAGUGAGGCUCAACCUCAUAAAAGCAGUGGAAACUACAUGGCUAGAGUGCGUUCGGGGCAGAGGGAAUUCCUGGUGUAGCGGUGAAAUGCGUAGAGAUCGGGUGGAACACCAGAGGCGAAGGCGGCUAGCUGGACAGUUACUGACACUCAACUCCGAAAGCGUGGGGAGCAAACAGG
This 253-nucleotide ribosomal RNA is filed under the name uncultured bacterium. RNAcentral's name for it is "partial 16S ribosomal RNA". It matches the Rfam family "Bacterial small subunit ribosomal RNA", at positions 524 to 776 of the family's 1533-position model. The record is from RNAcentral.